CAUGGCUCAGGACGAACGCUGGCGGCGUGCCUAAUACAUGCAAGUAGGACGCACAGCCUAUACCGUAGCUUGCUACACCAUAGGCUGUGAGUUGCGAACGGGUGAGUAACGCGUAGGUAACCUGCCUAUUAGAGGGGGAUAACUAUUGGAAACGAUAGCUAAUACCGCAUAACAGUAUGUAACACAUGUUAGAUGCUUGAAAGAUGCAAUUGCAUCGCUAGUAGAUGGACCUGCGUUGUAUUAGCUAGUAGGUAGGGUAAUGGCCUACCUAGGCAACGAUACAUAGCCGACCUGAGAGGGUGAUCGGCCACACUGGGACUGAGACACGGCCCAGACUCCUACGG
RNAcentral lists this ribosomal RNA (344 nucleotides) under uncultured bacterium. RNAcentral's name for it is "bacterial SSU rRNA". It matches the Rfam family "Bacterial small subunit ribosomal RNA", at positions 18 to 344 of the family's 1533-position model. The record is from RNAcentral.